CACGUAGGGCGCGAGCGUUGUCCGGAAUUAUUGGGCGUAAAGAGCUCGUAGGUGGUCCGCUACGUCCGCUGUGAAAACCCAGGGCUUAACCCUGGGCUUGCAGUGGAUACGGGCAGACUAGAGGUAGGUAGGGGAGAAUGGAAUUCCCGGUGUAGCGGUGAAAUGCGCAGAUAUCGGGAGGAACACCGGUGGCGAAGGCGGUUCUCUGGGCCUUACCUGACACUGAGGAGCGAAAGCGUGGGGAGCAAACAGG
Molecule: ribosomal RNA, 253 nt
Filed under: uncultured organism
Description: partial 16S ribosomal RNA
Rfam family: Bacterial small subunit ribosomal RNA
Source: RNAcentral